AGAUUGAGGUGCAUUGGAAUUCGACCAGAUGAUCAUCCUAUCAAGACUGAGAUUGAGAGAUUGACCUUGUGUGAGGGGAAAUUGGAGCAAUUUGGUAAUUGGAACAAAGUCUGAAAAUGUUCUAUCCAAAUCAUUAAGGAGGCUGCAAUUGAUGGAGCUCUCAAUAGAA
Asparagus officinalis (garden asparagus) is the source of this 169-nucleotide long non-coding RNA. RefSeq lists it as uncharacterized. The record is from RefSeq and is a predicted model, not a curated record. Lineage: Eukaryota; Viridiplantae; Streptophyta; Magnoliopsida; Asparagales; Asparagaceae. The transcript has 3 exons.